AAACCUUGUAGCGGUACUUGCCAGCUGUCUCUGCUCAUGGACAGCCUGGCCAGCUGCUCCUCACCCUGGUGUAUGACUCUUAGAAGGUGAGAAAGAAGUUUCCUGGAAGGUAUUAGUUUCCUGGGAUCUUGUUUGUGCCUGUUAAAAGGCUUCUUGCUAAUUACAGAGUGAGUCAUGCAAUCCUAUUGAAUUACAGUAUAUGCACCUGUAAAAUGCUCUGCCAGAUAAAACAGAUUUUCUCAGGUAUAUCUGGAUGUAUUGAUGUCAAAGAGAGCUUUGUUUGGGAUGGGGUGAAAAGUUUUACUUCAUGUGCAACAUCCAAGUGCACCCACAAUUGCCAGAUCAACCAGCCCCAGGUGUGAUGAAUGUGCCAGCCUGAGCACCUGGGCCUCUCUUGGAGCUGCUAUCGUUUCGGGCCAUGAGGCUCAGCUGUCCUAGGAUCUUCACCUUCCUGCUGCCACGUGCAGGGCAGGAAAGCUGUGGGCAGUGCGAAGCUGGGUUUGGUUCUGUGAUGUGCAGCCUCUGGGUGCCUUGGAGGGAAGGCAGUGGAUGUGGACUGAGAAGCAAGUCAUUUUUUCCAGAGCAAGGGAGACUUGCAAUGAAGUACCUGGGAAAUGGGUGAAGGAGCAGCCCCCUUUUUUCGGCGGCGCCCCGCGCAUUCCCGCUUGCGCAUUCCACCUUUGUUCUGCAGGAGGAACUCCCUUUGACGUGGAUGUGGAUAUGUAUUCCACACACCAGGCGAGUGCGGAGCGGGCAAUCCAGCCCUCUGCGCCACAGCCUGGGGAGCAGAACAGCUCUCCAGAUCACCCCUUGCAUUUUAAUAGCAGAGGGAAAGCGGAAAUCUCCAUUUUUUGAAAUGGCUAGAAUAAAUAACAGAAUAAAAGGAAGUUCA
This 892-nucleotide long non-coding RNA is filed under the name Anas platyrhynchos platyrhynchos (common mallard). RNAcentral's name for it is "lncRNA (ENSAPLG00000017124.1)". The record is from RNAcentral. Lineage: Eukaryota; Metazoa; Chordata; Aves; Anseriformes; Anatidae.